UUCGCAAUGCCCGAAAGGGUGACGAUGCGACGCCGCGUGAGCGAAGAAGGCCCUAGGGUUGUAAAGCCCUGUCGGGGGUUAAGAAAUGCAGGUUGGCUAAUACCCAGCUUGUUUGACAAAGGCCCCAAAGGAAGCCACGGCUAACUCUGUGCCAGCAGCCGCGGUAAUACAGAGGUGGCAAGCGUUGUUCGGUAUUAUUGGGCGUAAAGAGCACGUAGGUGGUUUUGUAAGUCAGAUGUGAAAGCCUUCUGUUCAAAGGAAGAACGGCAUCUGAAACUGCAGAUCUUGAGUGUAGGAGGGGAGAGUGGAACUUCUGGUGGAGCGGUGAAAUGCGUAGAUAUCAGAAGGAACGUCGGCGGCGAAAGCGACUCUCUGGCCUAUUACUGACACUGAGUGUGCGAAAGUUAGGGGAGCAAACGGGAUUAGAUACCCCGGUAGUCCUAACUGUAAACGAUGGGCACUAAGUAGAGGGGUUUU
This 477-nucleotide ribosomal RNA is filed under the name uncultured anaerobic ammonium-oxidizing bacterium. Its description in RNAcentral is "bacterial SSU rRNA". It matches the Rfam family "Bacterial small subunit ribosomal RNA", at positions 365 to 832 of the family's 1533-position model. The record is from RNAcentral.